UCGCCACCCACAGUGGCUGGAGAGCGGUUCAUGUCACAAAGUACUUUAAAAAUACACACAGAACUUUACCUGGGAUGGAGUUUUAAGAUUUUGUAACAAUAUCCCAGAAAUGCAUAACGUGAUGGAAAAGGCAUCUAUUCACAGAUUGAGAAAAAACAAUCAUAGUUACUACUCCUGCCCUAGUUCAGAAGCAUCAGGACCCGUGACCAUCUCUGAAAACACUUGUCAGGUACCCCGAAAAGUACAGCCAGUGUAUCCUGGGUUCUCACCGGCGUCCGCGGGGUGAGGGGACGUGGGGGCAGCCCCACAGGGGUGCUGCUGUGACACCUGCAUGAACCACUUCAGUGUCUCCAGAAAGCCUCCUGUGGCUCCUGAUAAUCCGCUGCUUUCCUAAACUGUUUCCAGGAAGCUCGGUUAUGCUGUGGGUGGCAACUUGAAGGCUUCCAAGAACUUUCCGUUUUUGUUUGUGCCAACAUUUGUUUUCUGUCAACAGUUCAGCUAUUCAAAAAUACGAAGCUGGCAGGGGGGCUGUUUGAACCAGGGACUGGAAUAGGGGGUCCCAACAGCGUCCAUGUUCCGAAUCCGAAUACGGCGCACGGGGCUGUGGGUGUCCCCGGCCCCGGAGAGACAGAGGGGUACGGGGGGGGGGCAAACUGGGACCGACCCCCACCCGGCCGCAACCGGGACGGGGGCCCCCGGGCCCCAAACCCCCGGACCCGGAGUCGCUCGCACGAAGGAACCAGCCAACCCCAAACGCCGGAUUCUGGAAAACCCCCGUUCCCAUGGCCCAGGGCGCCCCCGCGCUUCCAGCCAGCCCUUAGGGACGUCAGACAGCAAAUCCAGUUUCCAGCCGGGGUAUUGGGGUGCGGACAGAGAGAGGCGGCCAGGAGUUAUGUAAGUGUGCAGAGGCUCUGAGGAGAGAAUCAGUUUCUGAACACAGAGAUACUUAGAUUUUCACAGGCUUAAGUAAGAUGAAUGGUCCUCCAGGAGCCGGAAGCUCUGUGCUGCACCCUGAGACAGACUGGCCCUCCUAUUGGCCCAAAGGACAGGUCCUCCCAAAGGACUGUUAGCCCAAAGGACCCAUCUUCCCGAAGGCCUAUUAGCCCAGGGACAGUCCUCUGGAGGCUCUACCCAGCUGAGACUGGGUGGGUAAGCUGAAACUUCUUGGAUGAGCCACGAGUCAGUGGCAGCAAAUGUCUCUGGAGGACCUGGUCUCACUCCUGGUGAAGUUGUAACACUGAUCACUGAUCACCAAUCACGUUGGCAUCCAUUGGGGUUGUCUACAUUACAGCCACUUUCUUCUUUGUAAAUAAUGUAUUGUGGGAAGAUACUUUUAGGUGUGUAAAAUUGUUAUUUAUCCAAUUUAAACUCCAUAAUUUUAAGUUUCAUGAAGACUGAUGAUAACAUUUAAAUGAAUAAUUUUGUGUAAAUCUCUGCCUUAAUUUUGAACUUUACAUCAAUAUUUCCGAAAAUGAAUCUGGGUAAGAGCACUUUCAAGGCUCGAUGUGAAAAUG
Long non-coding RNA from Leopardus geoffroyi (Geoffroy's cat), 1514 nucleotides. RefSeq lists it as uncharacterized. The transcript has 3 exons. Lineage: Eukaryota; Metazoa; Chordata; Mammalia; Carnivora; Felidae. The record is from RefSeq and is a predicted model, not a curated record.